RNAcentral lists this unclassified non-coding RNA (238 nucleotides) under uncultured fungus. RNAcentral's name for it is "sequence contains ITS2". The stretch from base 1 to 52 matches the Rfam family "5.8S ribosomal RNA", at positions 103 to 154 of the family's 154-position model. The record is from RNAcentral. Lineage: Eukaryota; Fungi.
AACGCACAUUGCGCCCUUUGGUAUUCCGAAGGGCAUGCCUGUUCGAGCGUCAUUAUAACCACUCAAGCCUGGCUUGGUAUUGGAGUUCGCUAUCGGCGGCUCCUAAAAUCAGUGGCGGUGCCUGUAGGCUCUACGCGUAGUAAUACUUCUCGCUAUAGGGUCCUGCGGGUGACUUGCCAACAACCCCUAAUUUUUUCAGGUUGACCUCGGAUCAGGUAGGGAUACCCGCUGAACUUAA